GUUUCUUUAGUCUACUAAAGAUGAGGGCUUUUCAAGCCCUAGAACUAAGUGAAACUCUUAGAAGAAACA
Molecule: transfer RNA, 69 nt
Filed under: Holothuria poli
Lineage: Eukaryota; Metazoa; Echinodermata; Holothuroidea; Aspidochirotida; Holothuriidae
Description: tRNA-Glu
Source: RNAcentral